UACGGGCGUAUUCUCGCCUCCGGCCCCC
Molecule: small RNA, 28 nt
Filed under: Bombyx mori (domestic silkworm)
Lineage: Eukaryota; Metazoa; Arthropoda; Insecta; Lepidoptera; Bombycidae
Description: ovarian small RNA-21136
Source: RNAcentral